AGAGUUUGAUCCUGGCUCAGGACGAACGCUGGCGGCGUGCUUAACACAUGCAAGUCGAGCGGAAAGGCCCUUCGGGGUACUCGAGCGGCGAACGGGUGAGUAACACGUGAGCAAUCUGCCCUUAGCUUCGGGAUAGCUCCGGGAAACCGGAAUUAAUACCGAAUAUGACCACGGCCGACAUCAGCUGUGGUGGAAAGUUUUUCGGCUAGGGAUGAGCUCGCGGCCUAUCAGCUUGUUGGUGGGGUAACGGCCUACCAAGGCGACGACGGGUAGCCGGCCUGAGAGGGCGACCGGCCACACUGGGACUGAGACACGGCCCAGACUCCUACGGGAGGCAGCAGUGGGGAAUAUUGCGCAAUGGGCGAAAGCCUGACGCAGCGACGCCGCGUGGGGGAUGAAGGCCUUCGGGUUGUAAACCCCUUUCAGCAGGGACGAAGCGAAAGUGACGGUACCUGCAGAAGAAGCGCCGGCUAACUACGUGCCAGCAGCCGCGGUAAU
Molecule: ribosomal RNA, 498 nt
Filed under: uncultured soil bacterium
Lineage: Bacteria
Description: bacterial SSU rRNA
Rfam family: Bacterial small subunit ribosomal RNA
Source: RNAcentral